This 485-nucleotide ribosomal RNA is filed under the name uncultured bacterium. RNAcentral describes it as "partial 16S ribosomal RNA". It matches the Rfam family "Bacterial small subunit ribosomal RNA", at positions 28 to 507 of the family's 1533-position model. The record is from RNAcentral.
GAUGAACGCUGGCGGCGUGCUUAACACAUGCAAGUCGAACGGGAUCCAAGGGGUGCUUGCACUUUUUGGUGAGAGUGGCGAACGGGUGAGUAACACGUGAGUAACCUGUCCUUUUCUUUGGGAUAAGCAUUCGAAAGGGUGUUUAAUACCUUAUGUUCUGUCUGCCUCGCAUGGGGUGGGUGGGAAAGGCUUUGGCCGGAUUUGGGUGGGCUCGCGGUCUAUCAGCUUGUUGGUGGGGUGAUGGCUUACCAAGGCUUUGACGGGUAGCCGGCCUGAGAGGGCGGUCGGUCACAUUGGGACUGAGAUACGGCCCAGACUCCUGCGGGAGGCAGCAGUGGGGGAUAUUGCACAAUGGGCGAAAGCCUGAUGCAGCGACGCCGCGUGGGGGAUGAAGGCCUGCGGGUUGUAAACUUCUUUUGCUCUGAACAAGGCAUGCCAGUGGGUGUGUUGAGUGGAGGGGUUGAUUAGCGCCGGCUAACUACGUG